UACGGAGGGUCCAAGCGUUAUCCGGAAUCAUUGGGUUUAAAGGGUCCGUAGGCGGUUUUGUAAGUCAGUGGUGAAAGCCCAUCGCUCAACGGUGGAACGGCCAUUGAUACUGCAAGACUUGAAUUAUUGGGAAGCAACUAGAAUAUGUAGUGUAGCGGUGAAAUGCUUAGAAUAUUACAUGGAAAUACCAAUUGCGAAGGCAGGU
Molecule: ribosomal RNA, 205 nt
Filed under: uncultured bacterium
Lineage: Bacteria
Description: partial 16S ribosomal RNA
Rfam family: Bacterial small subunit ribosomal RNA
Source: RNAcentral